RNAcentral lists this ribosomal RNA (720 nucleotides) under uncultured bacterium. RNAcentral's name for it is "bacterial SSU rRNA". It matches the Rfam family "Bacterial small subunit ribosomal RNA", at positions 45 to 760 of the family's 1533-position model. The record is from RNAcentral.
GGCCUAACACAUGCAAGUCGAGCGGUAGAGAGAAGCUUGCUUCUCUUGAGAGCGGCGGACGGGUGAGUAAUACCUAGGAAUCUGCCUGAUAGUGGGGGAUAACGUUCGGAAACGGACGCUAAUACCGCAUACGUCCUACGGGAGAAAGCAGGGGACCUUCGGGCCUUGCGCUAUCAGAUGAGCCUAGGUCGGAUUAGCUAGUUGGUGAGGUAAUGGCUCACCAAGGCUACGAUCCGUAACUGGUCUGAGAGGAUGAUCAGUCACACUGGAACUGAGACACGGUCCAGACUCCUACGGGAGGCAGCAGUGGGGAAUAUUGGACAAUGGGCGAAAGCCUGAUCCAGCCAUGCCGCGUGUGUGAAGAAGGUCUUCGGAUUGUAAAGCACUUUAAGUUGGGAGGAAGGGCAGUUACCUAAUACGUGAUUGUCUUGACGUUACCGACAGAAUAAGCACCGGCUAACUCUGUGCCAGCAGCCGCGGUAAUACAGAGGGUGCAAGCGUUAAUCGGAAUUACUGGGCGUAAAGCGCGCGUAGGUGGUUUGUUAAGUUGAAUGUGAAAUCCCCGGGCUCAACCUGGGAACUGCAUCCAAAACUGGCAAGCUAGAGUAUGGUAGAGGGUAGUGGAAUUUCCUGUGUAGCGGUGAAAUGCGUAGAUAUAGGAAGGAACACCAGUGGCGAAGGCGACUACCUGGACUGAUACUGACACUGAGGUGCGAAAGC